Non-coding RNA from Phalacrocorax carbo (great cormorant), 977 nucleotides. The record is from RefSeq and is a predicted model, not a curated record. Lineage: Eukaryota; Metazoa; Chordata; Aves; Suliformes; Phalacrocoracidae.
AUCACAGAAUGGUGGGGCUUGGAAGGGACCUCUGGAGAUCAUCUUGUCCAACCCCCCUGCUUGAGCGGGCACACCUAGAGCAGGGGGCACAGGACCGCAUCCAGGAACCUCCUGGAUUGUGCGCACCUCGCCAUGUUGCUUUUCCAGUAAAUAUCAGUGUGGCUGAAAUCCUCCAUGAGAACCAGGGCCUGCGAUUGUGAGGCUACUUCCAGCUGUCCGCAGAAGGCUUCUUCUACAGAUGACUUAUUCCUGAUUAGGUGGCCUGUAGCAAACGCCCACAACAGUAUCAUCCAUAUUUGUCUACCCCUUAAUUUUACCUAUAAACUCUUGAUUAAUUCUUUCUCCACCCCUAGGCAGAGCUUGAUGCAUUCCAGUUGCUCCCUCACAGAAAAAGCAACUCCCCCCACCUCGCCUUGCUGGCCUUUCUUUCCUAGAAAGUAUGUAGCCACCCGUGACAGCAUUCCAGCCAUGACUGACAUUGAAUCAACUUUGGAAUAUCUGAGGAGAUAUUCCUUCACCUAUUUUUAAAUUAAGGUGUAGUGGAAUGACUAAGAACAAUUAAUUUAUUGUACAAAAAGAAUCUUAAUGUCAUGCAUGGUACCUUCUAUGUAAUAGCCAUUGAAACAGGCAGAUCUGCAACAGUUAUAGCUUUAUUCCUAGGGUGGAUUGUUUUAAGUUUCUUUUUCAGUUCUUUACUGAAAUAAUAAUUUAACCUGUGAAAUAUUUUUCUAGCAGAAUGUAUUGGGUUUUGUAGACUUAGAGAAACAGUAUCUGCUGACAUAGAAGGUUAUUUUCUUAGUGGCCCAAAAAGAGGUUGCACAUAGAGACUUAUUUUGGAUAUUUCCAAAGGCUGUUCUAUACCAUAUAAAUGUUAAUGUAGUUGUAAUGAAUGAUAGAUACUGCAUUUAGAUUUGAGAGUAAUAUUUGUUUCCCAGUUUGUAUGAGUGGUAAAUAAAUACUGGGACUGCUUGAUCACA